CUACGGGUCGCAGCAGUGGGGAAUAUUGCACAAUGGGGGAAACCCUGAUGCAGCCAUGCCGCGUGUGUGAAGAAGGCCUUCGGGUUGUAAAGCACUUUCAGCAGUGAGGAAAGUUAAUAAGUUAAUACCUUAUUGAUGUGACGUUAACUGCAGAAGAAGCACCGGCUAACUCCGUGCCAGCAGCCGCGGUAAUACGGAGGGUGCGAGCGUUAAUCGGAAUUACUGGGCGUAAAGCGCAUGCAGGCGGCCUUUUAAGCCAGAUGUGAAAGCCCGGGGCUCAACCUCGGAAUCGCAUUUGGAACUGGGAGGCUCGAGUCUUGUAGAGGGGGGUAGAAUUUCAGGUGUAGCGGUGAAAUGCGUAGAGAUCUGAAGGAAUACCAGUGGCGAAGGCGGCCCCCUGGACAAAGACUGACGCUCAGAUGCGAAAGCGUGGGUAGCAAACAGGAUUAGAUACCCGCGUAGUC
Molecule: ribosomal RNA, 464 nt
Filed under: uncultured bacterium
Lineage: Bacteria
Description: partial 16S ribosomal RNA
Rfam family: Bacterial small subunit ribosomal RNA
Source: RNAcentral